GAUUUACUCCCUCCGUCCGGAAAUACUUGUCAUGGAAAUGGAUGUAUCUAGACGUAUUUUACUUCUAGAUACAUCCAAUUUUAUCUAUUUGUGCGACAAGUAUUCCGGGACGGAGGGAGUAUUAU
Molecule: non-coding RNA, 125 nt
Organism: Triticum aestivum (bread wheat)
Lineage: Eukaryota; Viridiplantae; Streptophyta; Magnoliopsida; Poales; Poaceae
Source: Rfam